This 3677-nucleotide long non-coding RNA is filed under the name Sorghum bicolor (sorghum). RNAcentral describes it as "long non-coding RNA (SBIC_LNC001738)". Lineage: Eukaryota; Viridiplantae; Streptophyta; Magnoliopsida; Poales; Poaceae. The record is from RNAcentral.
GAUGAGAAGUGCACGCAGUCCAUGUAUAUACGUGAGAAUGGAAAAGUGGACAACAAUGUGCAGAUGGAAAUGGAAUCGGAAUUCAUUCGGACGUGACAGCAGAAGCGAGCAGUAUCACAAAAAACGUAAUAAUGCGUCCCUAAGAUAGAUGCCAAGGUGUGAACGAAACGAGGACGUGAAAUUCCACAAGUGGGCCGGGAUAGAGAGGAGCAGAGAUUCCGGAUCGAAGGUGAUGGUGGUGGGUCAUGGCGGUACAAGAAGACACUUCAAGUCCCUGGUCUGAGACGUCGAUAGGCACGCAAUGCAGCAGCAGCUUUCAUCUUUCCUCUGUGCGUGGUGAGACCGGAUCAGUGGUGGACUUCAUGCAGAUGGACACAUUCCGUGUCCGGGUUGGGGACCGAUCGAGGCCAAUUGGGAUCACACAAAUCAAUUUUCUGUUGCGCUAGAAUUCAGUUGGGGCACAUUGUUUAGUUUGCGUUGUAGAGUUUGCAUGGAACUUGUGCCGUGGUCCUUGUCCUUGGAAUAUAUCCCUACUCUCCAAGCAUGGCACAACCUCACAUUCCAUAGUAUGGCAAAACUUUUUUGACGGGUGACAAUGAGUAACGACAAAUCAUCAUUUUGUCGGACCCAUAUCCGCCGCCGAGGCAAAAGUUGAGGAACCAGACAAAUCCAGGCCGCGACCGGUGAAUCAUGACCCUAUAAGCACUCCAAUGCAGAAACCAACAUAAUUUUUUAGAUGUAAUUAUAGUGUCAUAUAAAUAUUUUGCGUAAAAUAUUUAUUAAAAAAAAAGCAAAAGUCAUAAAACCAGGUCUAAAUUAGAAACCAUAUCUACACGACAUACAAGAUAUGAGGUGAUAUAAUUGUUUGAGAAUAGAAAAAAAUAAAUUUGAUUGGAUAAAAAAAUAUUUUGUAGAAACUAUCCACUGAGAUCAUGAUUUCUAUAUAUAAUGUUUAUAGAAAUUAAUAGGUAUAGAAAGUAGCAUUUGGACUGCCUUAAGAUCUUGUUUAGCCAAUGAGAUGAAAACUUUUUGAAUAAUGUAGCACUUUUGUUUUUAUUUAGUAAUUAUUAUCCAAUCAUGGACUAAGUUCAAAAUAUUUACAGACAAAUUGUGCAAAUAGAUAUUUUUUAUUUAUAUUUAAUAUUAUAUACAUGUGUCGCAAGAUUCAAUAUGACAAGAAAUCUUAAAAAGUUUUUAGGUUUUAGGAUGAACUAAACAAGGCCUAAUUGAUGCAGAUCGGAGGCGAGGCGCGGCCACGGCAGCCAUUAGGGCAGUCCCAAUGGUAAUUAAUGAGCAGUUUCUAUCUCUAUUAAUUAAAUUGCCAACUUACUGUUUUGCUGAUGUGGCAGUAGAAUUAAUGAAGAGAGAAUAUAAACUGAAGAAAUCGUUUCUACCCUGAGAAACCAGGUCUAUGCUCGCAACGAGGCCGAUGGAAACGCCAAAAAUACCACUGGGGAGAAAUCAUCGGUUUCUAUCGGCAUUGAUGGGAUCGAGUGCGCCUGCGGUGGCAGGCCGCUUCUCCUGCGAGCGCGUGGCUUCUCCCGCACCCGCACCUUCGUUUAUCCUGUGUGCGCUCCACUCCCUUUUCCCUUUCACGUGAUGGCUUCAGUACAGAGGAGACCUGGCAUCUGGAGACCUGCGGCUUGGCUUCAGUUCACGUGAUUUGUAUUGCAUGCAACAGUUCUGGAAAGUGUGUUUGCGGGUUGAUUCAGUACGAUGAUUCAUCUGGAACAUUAUAUAUGUGUUUGCCAUCGUGUUGAUUUGCUGGUUGGCAGCUAUUGGAAAUCGAUGACAAUUUUUUAUGGUUCUUUGCAAUUGUAUGUUGUCGACAUAUGUUAGUUGUAAAAAUAGUUGCCACAGUUGAUCUAUCUGUUUUUGGUACUGCAUUUAAGUUAUCAUUUAUGUUAAUGAAGUUGUAGAAAUCAUGGAUUGGAAAGGAGCAGUUUCCUGAUGCGGCAUCCUAUGUCAUAGAAACUACAUAGUUUCUUCCAUUGGGACUGCCCUUAGCACUCGAGUCAGACCCCAUCCAUCAUUUGCAUUAAAUACAGAUAAAAAAACUAUAGUACAGUUUGUAUAGAAAUAAGACUAAUCUUUUAAAUCUAAUUAGUCUAUAAAUAGCUAUAAUUACUACAGUAACAUAUAUGCUAAUAAAAUAUUAAUUAGGCUUAAUAAAUUCGUCUCGUGGUUUUAAGACGAGUUAUGUAAUUAUUUUUUAAUUAGUAUCUCCUUUCAUAGAAUAUCUGAUGUGACAGUUAAAAAUUUUUCUAACUAAACAAGACCUCAAUCUUUCCUUUUCCGUUUUUCUGCUGACGGCUGACCUUUGGACCCGCUCGAGGAAAAACGAGGAGGAAAGAGCCAGUAGGUUCUCUACUCUGUACGCUACCCCGGGAAACGAAAGGGAUCCCAUCUUAUCACCCAACUUCCAAACACAUGUCCAGUAGCACAAGUGGUAGCACAGAUGGACUCGACCACUCCUGGGUCCAAUAGUGGCACUCAUCCUUGAUCAGCUUGGCAUUAUGUCCGCAUCUAGAAAUAUACCUCCUGCUCUAGUAUUUCUAGAGCGUGCGGCUAAAGAGGAGAAUUACGAGAGGGGGGCAAGCGCAUUGGAUUCGUGGAGCUGCCUGCUGAGCCUGAUAUACAGGUGCCAUAUGCCUCCAUCCCAAAUUGUAAGGUAUUUCAAGAAUCUUGGAGAGUUAAAUAUUUUUAAGUUUGACCAUAACAUUAUAAAAUAAUAAUUAUUAUGGUACUAACUAAGUAUCAUUAGAUUUUUUCUUAAUUAUAUUUUUAUAUACUCACUUUACGUUACAAAUCUUAAUAUUUUUCUCUAUAAUCUUGGUCAAACGUGGAAAUGCUUUGACUCUUCAAAAUUCUCGGAAUGACUUACAAUUUGGGAUGGAGGGAGUAUCUUUUUGCUACAAUAAUAUACCUUCCAAUUGUGCUGUAACUGUAACUAACGAUCGGUCGGUUUCCUCCUAUAAAAUUAAACAACAUUUACGUUGUGCGUCCUACUACUAUACUAGCGAGAAGAAGGGGUGGACAGGGAAGUAUGGGUGCAAUAAUACAUGUGCACGGCGGAUGCACCACGUAAAGCAGGUACUGUAUAGUUGGGAUCGGGAGAAGUUAAUGGUUAUUAUAGGCUUUAGCUACGAAUACACAUACUACUGACGUACAUUAAUUAGGUCACGUGCACGUACUACAGCUGGCCUUGUUUAGUUCCGAAAAGUGAAAACUUUUCGGAACUGUAGCACUUUCGUUUGUUUGUGACAAAUAUUAUCCAAUCAUGUACUAACUAGGAUCAAAAGAUUUGUCUCGUGAUUUCCAGCUAAACUGUGUAAUUAGUUUUUGUUUUCGUCUAUAUUUAAUAUUUCAUGCAUGUGCCACAAGAUUCGAUGUGACUGGGAAUUUUGAAAACUUUUUGGUUUUCAGGGUGAACUAAACAAGGCCGUAGCUGUUGCGCCGAGAAUAGCAGGGCCGGGAGUACGCAUGACAUGAGGACGAGCUAAAUCAAAUCAAAUAACGGAGCUUGUCGGCAGAUUAUUGGAGCGAGCUUGUUGGAUGGGAAUUAAUUGAAACGAGGGAGAGGGAGCUACAGGGUGCGUGCGUGCGUACCAUGAGGCCGAAGCUGAAGCCGACGACGACGGUGUUGGCGAUGGAGAUGGCGGCGAGCUCGAGGUCGC